Molecule: long non-coding RNA, 2962 nt
Organism: Sapajus apella (tufted capuchin)
Lineage: Eukaryota; Metazoa; Chordata; Mammalia; Primates; Cebidae
Exons: 2
Source: RefSeq, a predicted model, not a curated record
GACUCACAGCUGGUGUGGAGGCUGCUGACAGACUGGAAGCCCAGGCCAUCCUUGCUAACUGCGGAGGAGCUGCUGGCGUUGGUGCCCCAGCUAACUAUUAGGUAACAGAGAUAUGAGGAGGACAAACUCAUACUCCCUGGCUAUGAGAAGCUCAUCAUCCAUCUGUGGCAAGGGACAGAGAAAGGGGAGUUCCUACAUGUGGGCACAGGGCAGGAGCUCACUCAAAGCUUGAUGAGUGAAUCAUGAGCCAAGGAGCACAUACUUUUCAGGCCACAACACACAUUAGCAAAAUUAUCUGAUCUCAGCCUCUAUCUCAUCAGGGAGGUAAGUACGUAAGAACUCUUAUCUUUAUCACAGUCUUACAGAUGAGCAGAAAGUAAAGUUGCCCAUUCUCUGUCCCAACUACCUCACCUCAGUUUCCUUCCUCUAAACACUUUCAGUACAUUCAUUCCACCAGAAUUUACUCCAGGCCUGCUGUCUCUCAGGCACCAAGGAGGGUCAGCGAAUCCGGGGAUCAGACUGAUUUCCCACCCAUCAUGGAGCUUACAAUCCAGUGAAACAGGCAGGGAUUUAAUAAAUAAAAACAAACAAGCAGGUAACUGUAGAUUAUGAAGACUAUUAUAAAGAAAAGAACAAAAAGUCUGAGAAAGAAAUAUAGACAGUGACCUAAUUUAGAUGACAAUGAUGGGGGUAGGGGACAGUGGUCAGUUCAAAAAGAAGUACCCUAAAGAAUGAGAAAAAACUUACUUAGCAAAAGAAAAGUUCGAGGCAGAGCAUGGCAGGGAGAGGGAAGUGCAUGUGUAAAGGCCCUGAGGCAGGAAAGAACUUGGCUUUGGAACAUUCACUUAACAAAUAUUUAUUGGGUGCCACUACGUGCCAGGAAAGCUUAUUUGCACUAGGAAUACUGCAGUCAACAAGUAUAAAUCAUUAACCUCAUGGAGCUUACAUUCAAGAACAUUUUAACAUAUACUAAUAUGCUCUAAGAGGUACUGAAAACUCAGCAUAUGCCACAUCCUGGGUUACUGCGUUAUUUCUUCUUUUAAUGUUCCCAUACUUAUUUCCCCCCAAUCAAAUUGUAACGAUGCUGAUAGUAGGAUAACUACAAUUUACUGAGCACUUACUAUGUGCCAGGCACUAAGCUAAAGUGCUUGACAUGUAUCAUUAAGUUUAAUCCUUAUCAAAAACCUAUGAGGAAAUUACAGUUCAUAGUCUCAAUUUUACAUGACAAAACUGAGGCACAGAGUGAAAAGAAAAUUUCCCAGCAUACUGAGGAUGCAGGGAUUUCAGGGACUCUAACUGUGGAGCCCAUGUUUUAACCACCAUGCCACACUACCCUCCCUGAAGUUAAGCCCAGGGAUAUGAGACAUUUGUGCAUACUCAGUAGCACCUAAUAUCCAUACCCAGCAGAUUCUCCUUCCAUACUGGCAGGCUCCCCAACCCCAGGGGAAGAGCAGCUCUUGCCUAGCCUCUGGGUGAGACUCGUAGAACUCCAAUUUCAUCAAUGGCAGAGACAGAACACGCGUCCCUGGGCUAAGAAUGUGGUUUGAUUUUCUCUCUCUAGAAAGAGCAAUCAUCCGGCCAUCACAUCUCCCUAGCUUGGUCCAGGGUGGUUGCCUUCCCAGCUCUACUCUGAAUCCUUCAUAAGCUACGUGCUGGACCAUAUGGUGGCACCUGUCGGGAUUAAAAAAUGAGUAAGUCCAAGCCUCUCUGUUCCCAGCACUCACAAUAGCGGGGCCAGCCAGCAGGACAUCCACAUGGGAUGCACGAAGAGUUCUAUCCUGUCUUCCCCUCCAUGCCUCUGCCAGUUGUUCCCAUCUCAUUGGUAUUUUCUUUCUGAAGGGUUUUCUUACUGCCUGUUCUUGAAAGCCGAUAUAGUCAUCUGAGUGGGAAGGUGAGGAAAGAUGCCACGAACAAGGGACUUCAGAAGGGAGGCCAGUCUUCUGAGAGCAAGAGGUGAGGCCUGAGGAGCCGGAAGCUUGGCAUGAUGUGGGGAGGAGUGUGGGCUUUGGGUCUGACAGAUCUGGGUUCAGAUGCUGGGUGCUGCCACUCACUGGCUGUGCAUGACCUUCGAGGACACUGCCUCACUUCUCUGAACUUAUUACCUCAUGUAUAAAACACAGAUGAUAGUAGGUCUCUUGUAAGAGACCUAAAUUGGUGGUGGACUCAAUCAGCUCAGUGUGGGGGGCGCUCACUAAACAGUGGUUCUUUUCAUAACCAACUUUCCUGCCUCUGAAAAUCCUCAGCACUCUAUUGUCUGUCUUUAGCAUUUAUCCCACUUUCGUCUUGCAUUCGGGAGAGCAGGUACUUGUCUCUUCUGCUACUGGGUCACAGGCCUUUGGAAGGCAGGGAUGUUCCCUCCUUGUGCCAUAUCCCCUGCAGACCUAGAUGCUGAGCUGGCUCAAGUUCGAGCCCCAGUGACCAUGGAGAUAAUUAUUGGCAUCAACACCAUCACCUGCCAGUCAUCCUGCUAGGCACUGUGUCCAUCUACAUACAUCCUGAACUCAUUUGAUCUCAGGCUGUGUUAUUAUCCACAUUUUACACAUCAGGAAAAUAUAAGGUGGAAGGGGAAAAGUAACGUACUCAGUGAGUGAGUAGAAGGGGGCACCCCUUCUCACCCCCAGCCAAACCCCAUCCCUACAUCCAUACCAACAUCUAGAGAGUUCUAGGGUCAUUCAAGGCCACACAGGACAGGAAUCCUUGCCACAUAAUUCUGAAUUUUAUUUCCCUGAGUAACAACAACAGAAAAAAUGACAUGGAAUAAUCGUUUUCCUCCGUAUGUUAUUAAACAUUUAACGGGCAUCGAAAAUGAGAGGAAAUCUUGCUGUGUGCAUCUUUGCUCCUCGGCACCUGUGAUGGUGACUUCCAUAGAAGUGAGAGAAAACACUGAAUGUAUAGAUGAAUAUGUGAGGGAGUCACUCUGCCACCAACACCUAUCCUCAAAAUAAAAUACUGCAAAAUAAGA